Asparagus officinalis (garden asparagus) is the source of this 683-nucleotide long non-coding RNA. RefSeq lists it as uncharacterized. NCBI's taxonomy places the organism in Eukaryota, Viridiplantae, Streptophyta, Magnoliopsida, Asparagales, Asparagaceae. The record is from RefSeq and is a predicted model, not a curated record. The transcript is spliced from 2 exons.
UUUUCAUUUCUUUACUUUUCUUAAAAAUUAUAAGUAAAAAAAACUGGUUUGAAGUCUUAAUCAGGUGGUUGCCAGAGUUGGUAAACUGGACUGGGUUCCACCGCGAUCUGGAUCAUUAAUAUUCACCCAUUAUGUGACAAUUGAACCCGAGUCCUGGCUCUAUAUGCCGUCACACGUUUCGUGCAACUAUGACCUAUAACGUUUACACCCAUACUCAGAGAUUGAUGUUGUCUAUGCCUGUUAACUGCCAGAUUGGUUUAGCUUUGAAAAAGCUCUUUGCAGAUGGUGUUAUAAAGCGGGAAGAACUAUUCAUCACCUCCAAACUCUGGUGCACUGAGCACGAUCCAGAAGAUGUGCCGGUGGCAUUGGAUACAACAUUGAAAUGCCUACAACUCGACUAUAUUGAUCUUUACCUUGUAUGCUCCUCUCUCUUGUCAACAUGUAGAUGAAUCUAAUGCUUGGAAUUUUGCCAUGCCGAUUUCUUUUUGAUAUAAAAACUUAGACCUAAGGCCCCCAACGUGCCCCUAAAAGUGAAAAGGGAAAUAUUUACCAUGGUUGAGAGAGGCAUAUGUGAAAACUAACAUGACUGACCCCUCAGAAAAAAAGAUUUUGUAUCCCGUCAAAACAAUGUCCAACCAAAUGUAUGCUAUAAUCCACCUUAUCGAGGAUAUCAAUCUAAUCCA